RNAcentral lists this long non-coding RNA (1853 nucleotides) under Sus scrofa (pig). RNAcentral describes it as "lncRNA (ENSSSCG00000061772.1, ENSSSCG00005029339.1)". Lineage: Eukaryota; Metazoa; Chordata; Mammalia; Artiodactyla; Suidae. The record is from RNAcentral.
GAUGACAUUAUCGUUUAUGAAGAAAAUUCUACAAACAGACCAAAAAACCCACAAUAAAAAAAGAAGCCCUGCUAGAACCAAUAACUGAGUCCAGAAUGGUCAUAAGAUACAAAGUUGACAUAUAAAAACUGUCUUCUCUGUAAUAGUAAUGAUAAUGUGAUAAUGUGCAAACUGAAAUUUAACCCUAUGCCAUGUAAUGACCCUCCCCCCAAAAGUUGCCUGGAUAAAAAUCUAACAAAAUAUGUUCAGGUUCUGUAAGGUGAGAAUUACAAAACACUAAUGAAAUAAAUCAGAGUGUCUAAAUAAAUGGAGAAAUACAAUGUUCACGGAAUGACUCAAUAUCAUAAAGAUGCCAAAUCUCACCAAAAUGAUCCACAGAUUAAUGUAAUUCUAUAGAAAUCCCACAAGAUGUUUUGUAAGUAGAGAUAAGCACAUGAUAAAAUUCACACAGAAAACCAAAGGAAAAAGUGAUAUAGAAAGCUAAAUCAAUUUUUAAGAAGAAUAAAGGGGAAAUUACCCAAUUAUUUAAUGACAGCCACAGUACUCAAGAGAGUGUAACAUUAGCAGAAGUUUAAAUACACAGAUCAGGAGUUCCUGUUGUGGUGCAGCAGGAACGAAUCCAACUAGGAACCAUGAGAUGCGGGUUUGAUCCCUGGCCUUGCUCAGGGGGUUUGAGAUUCAGCAUUGCUGUGAGCUGUGGCGUGGAUCGCAGACAUGGCUUGGAACCCUUGUUGCUGUGGCUGUGGUGUAGGCCAGCAGCUGAAGCUCUGAUCCGACCCCUAGCCUGGGAAGUUUCAUAUGCCGCACCUUCGGCCCUAAAAAAAGCAAAAUAAAUAAAUAAAUAAGUCUUAAAAAUGUAGUACAAUGGGCCAAUUCAUACGUACAUCUUCAUCUUCUUAAGUAAGAAAGCAUAACUGGAGUUCCCGGCAUGGCUCAGUGGUUAACGAACUUGACUAACUUCCAUGAAGAUGCAGGUGUGAUCCCUGGCUUUGCUCAGUGGGUUAAGGAUCUGGAAUUGCCGUGAGCUGUGGUGUAGAUCACAGAUGUGGCUUGGAUCUGGCAUUGCUAUGGCUGUAGCAUAGGCCGGUGGCUAUAGCUCUGAUUAGACUCCUAGCAUGGAAAUCUCCAUAUGCCUUGGGUACGGUCCUGAAAAAAAAAAAAGAAAAGAAAGCAUAAUUAAAACCUUCAUAUUUCUCAUAAAGACAUGUACUACUCAAGGGUAGAGACAGUGUUGGAGAAGAGAGACAGUCUUCAGGCAAUGUCUUCACAUGUACCCUCAACUAUUCUGAAACUGGAGAGCAGUGCCUGUAUAUAUGACACAAAUAAAAGAAACGAGGCCCCUGAUCUCUGCAACAACACCGCCCUUACCCCAAAUAAACUAAGAAAGGGAUGACAAAUUGGCAUAGGCUCAUCAGAGAACCACGAAAGAAGCUGCACUUGCAUUUCACUCUCAUUUCUUUUCGAUGUCUCCUCUCUUUUGUUUAUAUAUCCCUGAGAUAAUUUUGCAGUGUAAACUAAGGGGAAAGAUGUGGCUAAAGGUUUUGGUAAGUGCACAAUAAGGACUGAACCACUCUCCUGGGUGAACUUUCAGAUACAGAGUAAGUUUCUAGGCCCAUUUCAAACAUAACUCUUUAGAUGACAACUGACAACCUGCAACAAGUUUUCUCCCAGAGAAGAAAACUGUGGGGUUUCUCUUUGGUAUGAAUGAUCAGAUUCUGAGUAAGACGUUUCCUCUAGCAAAAGAUUUUACCCAGUGGUUACAUUCAAAAGUCUUUCUCCAAAAGGAAUUCCUAGAGGCUGACCAGGGACUAACCAAAUGUGAAGGGUCUUCCCACAUUUUUCACGGUGACAGG